This 23-nucleotide non-coding RNA is filed under the name Rattus norvegicus (Norway rat). The record is from RNAcentral. Lineage: Eukaryota; Metazoa; Chordata; Mammalia; Rodentia; Muridae.
UGAGACAGAGAAAGGUGUUAUGG